This 1224-nucleotide long non-coding RNA is filed under the name Citrus x clementina. RNAcentral's name for it is "Citrus clementina (C. clementina) long non-coding RNA (CCLE_LNC001575)". The record is from RNAcentral. Lineage: Eukaryota; Viridiplantae; Streptophyta; Magnoliopsida; Sapindales; Rutaceae.
AAUUUUUUAUUAUUCCGAAUUUAUUAUCUUUAAAUUAUUCCAUUACUAUUAAAAACUUUAAGUUAUUUUAAUUUUUAUUUAAAAAAUGAGAGGAGAGAGCUAAUUUAUAUUUGUUAAAUUAUUUUAAUUAUUAACAAUAUUUUAAUAUGAUUAUUCUACUAAACAAAUUAAACUGUUUAUAUUACAUUUGUAUUUAUUAAAAAUUUUGAUGUUCAAUUGUUUUUUUUAACUCUUUAGAUAAGAAACUCUCCCUAAAUUCUCCCUCUCCGUCACCAAUCAAUCUCCCGAAGUCUGUUUUUGAUCGGCUUUAUAAAGUUAAGGUUUGUAAUGCAAAACUGAAAAUCGUUUUUUCGUCCAUUCGUUGCCCUCUCUUGCUCUUUCUAAGCGUUUUAACCAGACAUCAACUGCCACUUCGGCCUUGGUCGGAGUGGUGGGCUGCUGCCCUCACAAGCAUUGUGAGGGCAGCGGUUCAAGCCCCCACAAAAGCAUUUGUGGGGGCUAACGUGCUUAUUUGUUUAAUAUUUCAAAAAUUUCCUCUCUCUCGUGCAAUACGAGUGGAGUAUGAACAUCCCUCUUCUGUAAGGGAUUAUUUAUCUGGGCAUGUACUUCACAGAAUUCAAUGUAAUAAUAUAAGUCCCAAUCAUGUAUUUCUGAUUGUAAAUAUCAGUGUAAUAUAUCUGCUAUAAUAGCAGUUGUAAAUAUCUGUGUAAUGCAGUAAUAUGAUGAUUAAUCAGUAUUCAAAAAAAAAAAACCAGACAUCAACUUGGUCAAAUUAGUUGACUCAAGUGGUCAAAUUAGUUGACUCAAGUGCCCACGCGAGGACUUAAAUGAUGAAACUAAUGAAUUGGGCACUUGAAGACUCUGCGUUUUGCUUUGGCUUCGAUUAAUGGCCAACAUGUUCCUGGCCUCAAUCUUAUCAACACUCCUAGUUCUCAAGAUUAUAACAAAUAAAAAGAUUAUCUCUUUUGCACUCACAUCGCUUGGAAGUCAAUCUUUUUUUCUGAUUUUUAUCAUGCGGAAAGGUAAUUUACUCUCCACGUGUGUGUGAAUCAUAUCAAGUACCACUCAAAAGCCCAUAAAUCUAUCUCAUACUAAAAAUUAUAAAAUUUAUUUAACACAAAAAUUAUUUCAAAUUUUCAUAAUAAAUAUAAAUAUACUAUUAAAAUAAAUAUAAUAAUUUACAUUUAAAAAAUUAUUUUGUAUAUUAAAAAUAUUCUAAUAUCA